CCUACACCAUUCGACAUCGCUUAACGUGUACAUCGGAUUUUGUAAUAUACAAACUUACUUGCCCAUGUGGACUGGCCUAUGUGGGCAAAACAGAUUUACCCUUACGUGAACGAAUCCGUAACCAUAGAUCCAGUAUACGGACUGCUUAUAGGGACAACAAAUCUGAGCAACCCGUGGCAAAACAUUUUCUUGAGAAGGGACACUCGUUGCCCACCCUGAAACUGAUAGCCAUAGACCAUGUUCCACCUUUGCGCAGAGGUGGAGACCGCAGUAAACUGUUAUUGCAGCGUGAACUGUACUGGAUUAGGACUCUACACACCGUUCAGCCAUUUGGUUUGAAUGAAAAAUACUCAUUGGCAGUAUUUUUGUAAAUAUUGGUAUCGUGGUUUUGGUUGAUAGGGGAACGAGAAUGCCCACCCAGGGGGAUAGGCAUCUCUAAUAUCCUUCCCAUUAUACCGCUUUGCUAUUCACAUAUUUAGCAAGUUGUUGGCACUUAUUGGCGACUAUUAAGGGCUUGGAGGUAGCCCAC
Pelobates cultripes (western spadefoot toad) is the source of this 529-nucleotide non-coding RNA. The record is from the annotation of a GenBank genome assembly. NCBI's taxonomy places the organism in Eukaryota, Metazoa, Chordata, Amphibia, Anura, Pelobatidae.